AGAACGAACGCUGGCGGCAGGCUUAACACAUGCAAGUCGAACGCGUGUAGCAAUACACGAGCGGCGCACGGGUGAGUAACGCGUGGAUAUCUGCCUUUUGGUUCGGAAUAACCCCCGGGAAACUGGGGCUAAUACCGGAUGGUUCCUACGGGAUAAAGAUUUAUCGCCAAAAGAUGAGUCCGCGUACGAUUAGCUAGUUGGUGAGGUAAUGGCUCACCAAGGCGACGAUCGUUAGCUGGUCUGAGAGGACGAUCAGCCACACUGGGACUGAGACACGGCCCAGACUCCUACGGGAGGCAGCAGUGGGGAAUAUUGGACAAUGGGGGGCAACCCUGAUCCAGCCAUGCCGCGUGAGUGAUGAAGGCCUUCGGGUUGUAAAGCUCUUUUGGCGGGGACGAUGAUGACGGUACCCGCAGAAUAACGCCCCGGCUAACUUCGUGCCAGCAGCCGC
This 451-nucleotide ribosomal RNA is filed under the name uncultured bacterium. RNAcentral's name for it is "SSU rRNA". It matches the Rfam family "Bacterial small subunit ribosomal RNA", at positions 26 to 518 of the family's 1533-position model. The record is from RNAcentral.